UCUAUCUCCUUGAAAGAUAAAAGUAUUCUCUAUCUGUUCUAUACUAUCCUUCUACCUCAAACCUUAUAUUAGAGAUAAAAUAAAAUCAUUUAAACAUUAAGGCUAAACCUCCUUCAAUCACCUGAAGUCCUAAAGCUGGCAAAACAGGAGUAAAUGGUUUAAGGUAUUUUAAAUCAAGUUAACGUUUUAGAAUUAAAUUGUAUUUUAACCUUUUUUAUUUAUAACUUUGAUUUAGGAGUUCCUAAAUUGCUCUAAACUACAUUUAACUGAAACCAGAAAAUAAACACCCUAGAAAAAAAAAUUUAACUUUUAUGGGACAGAGCAGAAUAUCGACAGGACUGGCAAGGAUAAUUUACAAGAUCUAGUGCACCCUUAGAAGAAAUCCAAUAAUUGUAUUCAACUUAUUGAAAAAGAGAAUCUGAUCAAGGUUCAAGAGAAUCUGAAAAUGUAAGCAAUGUUAAAAAGUGAAAAUAUAUGUUUUUUCGGC
Molecule: long non-coding RNA, 487 nt
Organism: Eurytemora carolleeae
Lineage: Eukaryota; Metazoa; Arthropoda; Copepoda; Calanoida; Temoridae
Exons: 2
Source: RefSeq, a predicted model, not a curated record